CCAAAUUAAAUAAUACUAAUACUAAUAAUAAUAAUAAUAAUAACAAUAACAAUAACAAUAACAAUAACAAUAAUCACAAUCCGGCCAGAUUCAAAGACAUCAGGAAUGAUGUUUAUUCAAAUUAUUAUUAUUAUUAUUAUUAUUAUUAUUUUGAAAAACUCUUACAAGAUCCGUUAGUAAUCAGUCCAGAACAUAUUCAAAAUUCGGUCAAAAAAUCCCACAACAUCUAAAUGAUCCAAGGAUAGAGUAACAGUUUUAUAGAUCUAGAUCUAUAUCAGACUAAACCCAUAGCAGACUAAAUCAAAAACAUCAGCAGACAAAAUAAGAUCUAGGCCUCCGUCGACUACUCCGUUACCAGAAGAAUCGUCGGCGAAACGACGUCCCGCCAUGGAUACAAUCAAGAAUAAAAUAGAGCAACAAAAUCAACAAUUUAGAUCCGAGAGCCUCGUCUGUCAGCCGACGCCAGAUCCAACCAUUUAGAUCCGAGAUAUAUCUUCAAAAAUAAUCAUCUUGAAUUUAAAACAAGUUCUGUAACCCCCGAUCUAUAACAUCUGUAACCAUCUUCAAAAAUAAUCAUCUGUCAGCCGAUGCCAGAUCCAACCAUCACCAGUAAAUACCAACAAGAUCCGUAACCCCCGAUCAAUAACAACAAGUACAUAAUCAUCUUAGAGAAGAGAGAGCUCCUUAACGAUGAUCGGGAUGGGAGGAUGGGAGAAGUACAGAAUUCGCCGGAGAGAGAAAAAACAGAGGGAGACAGCACCGAAUUGGAAUUUUUAGUUUUGUAUUUUUCAUCCGUCGGGGGAAACAAAAAUCAAUUUGUACUUAAAAUAAAACUACUACUAAUAAUUAAUAAAUUAAUAAUAAAUAAUAUAAUUUUAAAAUAUUGGCAGUACACUUAAACAAGAAAUGAAAUUACUAACCUGAGUUAUGUUUAAGGGAAGAUAUGCAAAAUCUAAUGAACUUGAAUCACUUUUUUAUCUUUAUUCAGUUUGUAUAAAAGGUAGUAAAUUG
Molecule: long non-coding RNA, 1011 nt
Filed under: Panax ginseng (ginseng)
Lineage: Eukaryota; Viridiplantae; Streptophyta; Magnoliopsida; Apiales; Araliaceae
Description: long non-coding RNA (PGIN_LNC004120)
Source: RNAcentral